AGCAGGCGCGUAAAUUGCCCGAAUCCUGACACAGGGAGGUAGUGACAAGAAAUAACGAUACAGGGCUACAUCUAGUCUUGUAAUUGGAAUGAGUACAAUUUACAUCUCUUAACGAUGAUCAAUUGGAGGGCAAGUCUGGUGCCAGCAGCCGCGGUAAUUCCAGCUCCAAUAGCGUAUAUUAAAGUUGUUGCAGUUAGAACGCUCGUAGUCGGAUUUCGGGGCGUUCCGACCGGUCUGCCGAUGGGUAUGCACUGGCCGGAGUGUCCUUUUUGCCGGAGACCGUGCCUACUCUUAACUGAGCGGGGGCGGGAGACGGCACUUUUACUUUGAAAAAAUCAGAGUGUUUCAAGCAGGCAGCUCGCUCUCGCAUGGAUUAACAUGGGAUAAUGAAAUAGGACUUUGGUGCUAUUUUGUUGGUUUCGAACACCGAAGUAAUGAUGAGAAGGGACAGUCAGGGGCACUCGUAUUCCGCAGAGAGAGGUGAAAUUCUCAGACCCGCGGAAGACGAACCACUGCGAAAGCAUUUGCCAGGGAUGUCUUCACUGAUCAAGAACGAAAGUUAGGGGAUCGAAGAUGAUCAGAUACCGUCGUAGUCUUAACCAUAAACCAUGCCGACUAGGGAUUGGAGGAUGUUCACUGAUUGACUCCUUCAGCACCUUACGGGAAACUAAAGUCUUUGGGUUCCGGGGGGAGUAUGGUCGCAAGGCUGAAACUUAAAGGAAUUGACGGAAGGGCACCACCAGGUGUGGAGCCUGCGGCUUAAUUUGACUCAACACGGGGAAACUUACCAGGUCCAGACAUUGUGAGGAUUGACAGAUUGAGAGCUCUUUCAUGAUUUAAUGGGUGGUGGUGCAUGGCCGUUCUUAGUUGGUGGAGUGAUUUGUCUGGUUAAUUCCGCUAACGAACGAGACCUUAGCCUGCUAAAUAGCGACGCGAACUCUUUGUUGGCGGUCCACUUCUUAGAGGGACAACUUGUCUUCAACAAGUGGAAGUUUGAGGCAAUAACAGGUCCGUGAUGCCCUUAGAUGUUCUGGGCCGCACGCGCGCUACACUGAUGCACUCAACGAGUCUCCACCUUGACCGAGAGGUCCGGGAAACCUUCGAACUUGCAUCGUGAUGGGGAUAGAUUAUUGCAACUAUUAAUCUUCAACGAGGAAUACCUAGUAGGCGCAUGUCAUCAGCGUGCGUUGAAAAGGC
Molecule: ribosomal RNA, 1197 nt
Filed under: Haptophyta environmental samples
Lineage: Eukaryota; Haptophyta
Description: SSU rRNA
Rfam family: Eukaryotic small subunit ribosomal RNA
Source: RNAcentral